This 114-nucleotide ribosomal RNA is filed under the name uncultured bacterium. RNAcentral describes it as "partial 16S ribosomal RNA". It matches the Rfam family "Bacterial small subunit ribosomal RNA", at positions 557 to 670 of the family's 1533-position model. The record is from RNAcentral.
GGCGUAAAGCGCAUGCAGGUGGUGCGGUAAGUUGCCUGUGAAAUCUCCUGGCUCAACUGGGAGAGGCUGGGCAAGACUGCCGGACUAGAGUCCUGUAGAGGGGGGUAGAAUUUC